Molecule: long non-coding RNA, 2326 nt
Organism: Acanthopagrus latus (yellowfin seabream)
Lineage: Eukaryota; Metazoa; Chordata; Actinopteri; Spariformes; Sparidae
Exons: 2
Source: RefSeq, a predicted model, not a curated record
AGCCUGCUCACUGUGAGUGCAACCAACUACAUGACAGUGAUAAUAACACACAAAGCCACCACCAGCAGCGUCAAGUCGUUUCCCGUUGCUGACUUUUUACUCCAACAUCUCUGCCCCCUCAUUAUUCUGACACCGAGACGCCUUCUGAGGGUCCAAGUCCACUUCCAAGUGUCGCUGGAAGAGCACAGACUGAUGCAAAACGUUUUGGAAAAAUGCAUUCAUAGAGCCCCAGAAUCAGAAUCUCAUCGCCUCAGUGGGCUUUACAACCUGUGGCCUACAAAUAACGACCUCGUCUGUCCUUGGACCCUCGAUUCAAGGGGGUCAAAUUUGCGACAUUGAGAAAAAAAGGACUUCUAACGGGGAUCAAAAGAUGGAAGAAAUCAGGGUGCAUCUUCGUGGGACACCGUGAGGAUGGUUAAUGACAGUGACUUCACGAAGGCACAAGGCCUCAUUAUUGUGAUCAUCCAUAUAAUUUAGAGUCCAACACGGUGAUCAUCAUCUUGAACUUUGAAGCGGUGUCAUAAUAACACACCACCGAGGAGGCAGUAAAAAGCGCGUGGUGAAAAAGCCAGUUUAUCUGAAACGCGCAUGACUUUUAUUAUGUCAACAUGUCAGUCAUAUGUCAUGAUGUGACAAAUCUCCCCUACAGGAUUACAUUAUGCAGAAUACCAGCACACGGUCUGCUUUGACACAUGUGCUGCCACCUAGUGUCCGGACCUGAAACUGCGCAGUAAAUUACAGGCGUUCCAGACAUUUACAUUAGCAGUUUAUUCAUAUUCACAGAACAGAUUGUGUUGUCAAAGCUUGUAUCUCACUAAUGUGGGUUUUGAGUAAUGAGGAGAAAUAAUUGUUGUGGAGAAAUAAGUUAUUGCACAGAUACCUUAGAGGAUGAAAAAAAAAGUUGCUUUGAUGAAAAAUAUACUAAAAGCCAUAUGAAAUCAGCGUGCCACAGAUGCAAUACACACCCCUAUACAAUAAGAGGAAUUAAAGAAUUUGAAGGAUUUUUCCUUUUAAUCUUGCUUGCCAAAAGUCAUGUCUUAGGUCAUGGAGUUUAGCAGUGAUUAUAAUUACAGCUAUCAUAUCUUCACAAAAUCCAAAGAGGCCCCACACAGCACACAGGAGCUCGGCCGUGACCGUGCUGCCAAACAGCCGACUGUUUAUUUUUCAAAGAUGAAGCUCCGACCUCAAAGCCACCUUUCAGCCUGCACCUAACCCCCCCUGGAAGGGACACAUUUCACAGGUAUUGUAAAUGUAUGAAUGUGGGGCAGUGACCCUUUAAUCUGGCAUACCCCCAAAAAUCUCCCUUUACUCAUAAAUUAUAAACGGGAGGGCAAGUGGAAUAUGUGGGUCUGUGCCAACACUAAUCCAUCUCCAUCUCAUUAUCACAGCGACAGUCGAAACUUGCGGAUGGCUUUGAGAGUACCCCUGAAAUCACUGCAAUACAUCAUCCUGGGUUUAAAAAAAAAAAAAAAAAAUCAAGUCCGCGCCUGGGAUAUGUCUAUGUUUAAGUGUUUGUGAUGUCAUUGGUAAUUCGGGGGUGCUGACAGAACAAAAUCCAAUCAUUUUCACACUGUGCAAGAUAUCACAAGGGUUGUCUGAGGAAUUCUAAUUAGAGCCUGGAGACAUGAAGCUGGACACAACGGGAGCUCCGGGCCGCAGUCCUUUCACUUGACUGUGUCACAGCAAUAUUUGUUUUGGAAAUCACCUACUAAACAUCUUUAAUGUCAUGUUGAAAGCAUUACAAAGUGUUUAACCAAACUGCACCCGAAUGAUAUAUUGUUUGUUUACAUUUCUUAAUAAAAUAAACUGUAUAUGUCUGGUGACAACCUGGGCACAAAGUACUAGAUCAUACCUUGUCCUCAGCUGCUUUACAGUUUCAUCUUAACAUCACAAAGGGAAGAAAAGUGGACAAGAUGACAAUAGCCCACAUGGAUGCAUUUAUUUUAGAAAUCAGAUCAUGUGAAAUGUAAUAAAUGAAAUAAUUAUAAAGUGUCUAAAAUUACACUGAAAACAUGACUCAAUGAAUACAGCAUGGCCUAAAGUUCUCAUUCUUUUAAUACAUAUUGUUUAUUGAAAAUUAAACAGGACAGGGAAAGAACAUUACUGAGAUGUAGUUUUUCAGACGUAGGUGAUGUAAAAAAAAAAAAAAAUAAGGAAAAAUGCACUGAAGCGACUGAGCGUAUAGAGUUCUUCAUUUGCUGUGAUGAAAAGGCUGUAAGAUGAUGAGCAAUACGAGCGAACAGCAGGUGACUUUUACAAAGUCAGAGGGAUCAGCCGGAUCAGACGUUUGUCUUCUUUUGGGAGAGGUUGAUCUUGUCACCGAGGC